AUCGCUUCUCGGCCUUUUGGCUAAGAUCAAGUGUAGUAUCUGUUCUCGGCCUUUUGGCUAAGAUCAAGUGUAGUAUCUGUUCUUAUCAGUUUUCAUGCUGGUGGGGAUGGGUGCUGCAUGGAGGAUGCAGGUGUACCAGGGCUUUCCGGGGCUGGUUCUGAGGAAUCAGCUCGACGGCUGCCCCGAUGUGACCUGUUCCC
Hyla sarda is the source of this 200-nucleotide small nuclear RNA. RefSeq annotates it as U2 spliceosomal RNA. Lineage: Eukaryota; Metazoa; Chordata; Amphibia; Anura; Hylidae. The transcript has a single exon. The record is from RefSeq and is a predicted model, not a curated record.